UACGGCCACAUCACGUUGAAGCACCGGUUCCCGUGCGACCACCAAAGUUAAUCAACGUCGAGUCUGGUCAGUAUCUAGAUGACCGCUUGGGAAUACCAGGUUCUGUAA
Non-coding RNA from Acanthosepion pharaonis, 108 nucleotides. NCBI's taxonomy places the organism in Eukaryota, Metazoa, Mollusca, Cephalopoda, Sepiida, Sepiidae. The record is from the annotation of a GenBank genome assembly.